AAGCGAUGCCAGGGGCAGGUGAGGGUCGGACGCGCUCAGGCCCAGCCCUCGCCCCUUCAGGUCUGGGGGACACAGUGGAGUCCCAGCCUCAAGAAGUUUCCCCAACCUCUCAGAAACUUGAAGGGCAAUGCCAGGUACCGAAAAACCGGCCCCCGCCCCUUAUCCCCGGCCGACCCGUCCGCCGAGGUGGCUGCCCUGGGAACCUCCUGUUCCUCGUCCAGGAGAGGAAACGCACACCCGGGCCGGACGCACAGAAGCCGCACCCUGGCUGGGGCCACAAGCCUGACAGCUACCGACAAGCCCCCACCCACAGGAGCACGCGACGUGCUCUCUUUUCAAGGGAAAGGUUUUUCUUCCUGGGCCCUGGAAUGGGCCUGAAGUCAGCCGGCCUCAGCCCACAGGGUGAAUGAGGGGUGGGCACAGCCCGGCCGCGGCCCCAGCACACACGGGCGGACGCAGGGGCGGGGGAGCGCCAGCCCCGCAGUGUGUUCGGAGCCCAGCGGCUCUGAGUCGCCGCCACCAGCCUGGCCGCCUUCUGCUCCACGUCUGUUCACCCGUCCCCUGGACCGGCACCGCCACAGAGGGUCAGAGUGUUGGCACCUGUCUUCCGGGUCAGUUCACCCGUCCCCUGGACCGGCACCGCCACAGAGGGUCAGAGUGUUGGCACCUGUCUUCCGGGUCAGUUCACCCGUCCCCUGGACCGGCACCGGCACAGAGGGUCAGAGUGUUGGCACCUGUCUUCCGGAUCUGUUCACCCCUCCCCCGGACCGGCACCGCCACAGAGGGUCAGGAGUGUUGGCACCUGUCUUCCGGGUCAGUUCACCCGUCCCCUGGACCGGCACCGCCACAGAGGGUCAGGAGUGUUGGCACCUGUCUUCCGGAUCUGUUCACCCGUCCCCUGGACCGGCACCGCCACAGAGGGUCAGAGUGUUGGCACCUGUCUUCCGGAUCUGUUCACCCGUCCCCUGGACCGGCACCGCCACAGAGGGUCAGAGUGUUGGCACCUGUCUUCCGGAUCUGUUCACCCGUCCCCUGGACCGGCACCGCCACAGAGGGUCAGAGUGUUGGCACCUGUCUUCCGGAUCUGUUCACCCGUCCCCUGGACCGGCACCGCCACAGAGGGUCAGAGUGUUGGCACCUGUCUUCCGGAUCUGUUCACCCCUCCCCUGGAUCGGCACCGGCACAGAGGGUCAGAGUGUUGGCACCUGUCUUCCGGAUCUGUUCACCCGUCCCCUGGACCGGCACCGCCACAGAGGGUCAGAGUGUUGGCACCUGUCUUCCGGAUCUGUUCACCCCUCGCCUGGACCGGCACCGGCACAGAGGGUCAGAGUGUUGGCACCUGUCUUCCGGAUCUGUUCACCCCUCCCCUGGACCGGCACCGCCACAGAGGGUCAGAGUGUUGGCACCUGUCUUCCGGAUCUGUUCACCCCUCCCCUGGAUCGGCACCGGCACAGAGGGUCAGAGUGUUGGCACCUGUCUUCCGGAUCUGUUCACCCGUCCCCUGGACCGGCACCGGCACAGAGGGUCAGAGUGUUGGCACCUGUCUUCCGGGUCUGUUCACCCGUCCCCUGGACUGGCACCAGCACAGAGGGUCGAGUGUUGGCACCUGUCUUCUGGGUCUCCAUCCCUCCCUUUGUUUGUUGAGUGACUGCAUGUUCUCAUUUCCUUAUCAUACAAUUCUUUGAGAGGUAUCAUUAGCUGCGUCUUAUUUUAUUUUCACCUUCUUUUCUGUUACCUGUAUGUUUGAAUUUUCCUAUAAGUAUUUUUGUUUCAUCUUUGCUUUUUUAAAUUAAAAAAUCAGUUUUAAAAUUG
This is a long non-coding RNA of Homo sapiens (human), 1812 nucleotides long. NCBI's taxonomy places the organism in Eukaryota, Metazoa, Chordata, Mammalia, Primates, Hominidae. The record is from Ensembl.